UGUUUUCUUGGAUGAAACUGA
Molecule: non-coding RNA, 21 nt
Filed under: Caenorhabditis elegans
Lineage: Eukaryota; Metazoa; Nematoda; Chromadorea; Rhabditida; Rhabditidae
Source: RNAcentral